Molecule: long non-coding RNA, 1289 nt
Filed under: Homo sapiens (human)
Lineage: Eukaryota; Metazoa; Chordata; Mammalia; Primates; Hominidae
Description: non-protein coding lnc-ZNF567-2:4
Source: RNAcentral
GACAGGGUCAAAAGACAAGAGGCCCGAGGCGCUCCCGCCGUGAUUUGCAGCCAGAUACCGUUGGGAGCGCAGCCAGAGAGCGUUGGGAGCGUGCGUACCUCCAGCCCAACAUGGCGGCGGCAGCGGCCGCCCCCGACCCCAAGCCCUCCCUCAGGGCCCGAGGCUUCUCCUCAGGGCCUUCCGGUGGGCGGGAAGACAGCGCAACCCCGCCAGGCCUUUCUCGUCGCUGCGCCUGCUCGCUGAAGGAGUCACCUACCCGACGAGACUAACGGCUGCGGCGCGGAAGCCCCACAGCCCGCCGAGAACCAGGAAUACGAGAGCCAGGCGGCGCGGCGGCGGGACCUGUACUGAGCAAGAAAGAAGAUUUCAAAGUAAUUUAUUGUUAUGAGAUCCGUGCUUUUAUCUUGUCUCAGACUCCCAAUGAUAGGCACAUACUCUCCUCUGUACAUUUAAUGAAACUACUAAAAUAUUUCGAUUUAAAUCUUCCACCUAUUUGUUUUCUGUGUAUCCUACCUGUUCCCGACCUUGACAUUUUCAAAGAAUACAGGUUACUUAUUUUGUUUUUUGGUGGUGGUGAGUUUUUUUGGGGUUUUGUUUUUUGGUUUUUGGUUUUAUUUUUGGAGACAGGGCUUUGCUGUAUCGCCCAGGCUGGAAUACAGUGGCGCGAUGAUAGCUCACUGCAGCCUCGAACUCCUGGGCUCAAGGGACCCUCCUGCUUCAGCCUCCCGAGUAGCUGGGACUACAGGCCUGCGCCACCACGCCCGGGUAAUUUUUUAUUUUUUGUAGAGAUGGGGUGUUCUAUGUUGCCCAGUGUGGUCUCAAACUCUUGGGCUCAAGAGAUCCUCCCACUUCUGCUGCCCAAAGUGCUAGGAUUACAGGCAUGAGCCACCGCGCCGGGACAGUUAUUUUGUAGAGUGUUCUUUAAUUUGGAUGUACCUCAUCUUUUAUGUAUCUUUGGGAGGAAUACCACAUAACUCAUGUGGUUUAUCCCAUCGAGAGACACACAGUGUCAAUGUGUUCCAUUCUUGGUGAUGUUAACUUUUAUUACUUAGUGAAAAUAAUUCUAAGAGAUUUCACCACUGUAGAGUGAAUAAAUGAAUAUGUGGGAUUCAUCAAUGAAUAAGUAAAAGGAUGCCAACUGGCAAAAGAACUGAGUUGGGAGGAUGGCUUGAGCCUGGGAGGUCGAGGCUGCAGUGAGCCGUGAUGGCACCACUGCCCUCCAGCCUGGGUGACAAAGCAAGACCCCGUCUCAGAAAAAAUUAAAUAAAUAAAUAAAUACCCAGCACCUG